GAGCAACGCCGCGUGAGGGAUGAAGGCCUCUGGGCUGUAAACCUCUUUUAUCAAGGAAGAAGAUCUGACGGUACUUGAUGAAUAAGCCACGGCUAAUUCCGUGCCAGCAGCCGCGGUAAUACGGGAGUGGCAAGCGUUAUCCGGAAUUAUUGGGCGUAAAGCGUCCGCAGGCGGUCUUAUAAGUCUGUCGUUAAAGCGUGGAGCUUAACUCCAUUUAAGCGAUGGAAACUGUAAGACUAGAGUGUGGUAGGGGCAGAGGGAAUUCCCGGUGUAGCGGUGAAAUGCGUAGAUAUCGGGAAGAACACCAGUGGCGAAGGCGCUCUGCUGGGCCAUAACUGACGCUCAUGGACGAAAGCCAGGGGAGCGAAAGGGAUUAGAUACCCCUGUAGUCCUGGCCGUAAACGAUGAACACUAGGUGUCGGGGGAAUCGACCCCCUCGGUGUCGUAGCCAACGCGUUAAGUGUUCCGCCUGGGGAGUACGCACGCAAGUGUGAAACUCAAAGGAAUUGACGGGGGCCGCACAAGCGGUGGAGUAUGUGGUUUAAUUCGAUGCAACGCGAAGAACCUUACCAGGGUUUGACAUCCUGCGAAUCUCUUGGAAACGAGAGAGUGCCUUCGGGAACGCAGUGACAGGUGGUGCAUGGCUGUCGUCAGCUCGUGUCGUGAGAUGUUGGGUUAAGUCCCGCAACGAGCGCAACCCACGUCGUUAGUUGCCAGCAUUUAGUUGGGCACUCUAGCGAGACCGCCGGUGAUAAACCGGAGGAAGGUGUGGAUGACGUCAAGUCAUCAUGCCCCUUACAUCCUGGGCUACACACGUACUACAAUGCUACGGACAAAGGGCAGCAAACUCGCGAGAGCUAGCAAAUCCCAUAAACCGUGGCUCAGUUCAGAUCGUAGGCUGCAACUCGCCUACGUGAAGGAGGAAUCGCUAGUAAUCGCAGGUCAGCAUACUGCGGUGAAUACGUUCCCGGGCCUUGUACACACCGCCCGUCACACCAUGGAAGUUGGCCACGCCCGAAGCCGUUACUCCAACCCUUGUGGAGGAGGAUGUCGAAGGUGGGGCUGAUGACUGGGGUGAAGUCGUAACAAGGUAGCCGUACCGGAAGGUGC
This 1110-nucleotide ribosomal RNA is filed under the name uncultured cyanobacterium. Its description in RNAcentral is "bacterial SSU rRNA". It matches the Rfam family "Bacterial small subunit ribosomal RNA", at positions 389 to 1515 of the family's 1533-position model. The record is from RNAcentral. Lineage: Bacteria; Bacillati; Cyanobacteriota.